AGAGUUUGAUUAUGGCUCAGGAUGAACGCUGGCGGCGUGCCUAACACAUGCAAGUCGAGCGAUUACUUCGGUAAAGAGCGGCGGACGGGUGAGUAACGCGUGGGUAACCUGCCUCAUACACAUGGAUAACAUACCGAAAGGUAUGCUAAUACAGGAUAAUAUAAGAGAUUCACAUGGAUUUCUUAUCAAAGCUCCGGCGGUAUGAGAUGGACCCGCGUCUGAUUAGCUAGUUGGUAAGGUAAUGGCUUACCAAGGCGACGAUUAGUAGCCGACCUGAGAGGGUGAUCGGCCACAUUGGAACUGAGACACGGUCCAAACUCCUACGGGAGGCAGCAGUGGGGAAUAUUGCACAAUGGGCGAAAGCCUGAUGCAGCAACGCCGCGUGAGUGAUGAAGGCCUUCGGGUCGUAAAACUCUGUCCUCAAGGAAGAUAGUGACGGUACUUGAGGAGGAAGCCCCGGCUAACUACGUGCCAGCCGCCGC
RNAcentral lists this ribosomal RNA (482 nucleotides) under uncultured bacterium. Its description in RNAcentral is "bacterial SSU rRNA". It matches the Rfam family "Bacterial small subunit ribosomal RNA", at positions 8 to 518 of the family's 1533-position model. The record is from RNAcentral.